UCUCUCUCUCUCUCUCUCACACAAUUUCCUCGUCGCUUCCUCGCUCUCAUUUCACCUAUCUUCCAUCUUUCUAGGGUUUUUCACCCCUUCUUUUUAUCAUCUUCAGGCCGGCAAGUUAAAUAAAAUUACAUAAUCGCCCCUCUGCACCGUUUUACUUGGUCAUCAGUACUGCAUAACACAUAUUGUAAAAAGCUUUUGAUCGAAGAUUUUAAUGGCUUCUGAUUCGUGGAGCUCUCGCCUAUCGACUUCUUCAAGACGCUACUUUUCUCGAUCUGAUCUGUACGAGGAAACUGAUGUAGACGAGGAUUUGAAAGCUGAGUUUUUGUGUCCAUUUUGCGCUGAGGAUUUCGACGUUGUGGGACUCUUUUGUCACAUCGACGAGGAGCAUCCUGUUGAAGCCAAGAAUGGGGUAUUAACUCUCUCUCUCUUUUUCUCUCUCUCCUUCAUUUUAAGUUGUAAAAUCUAUUCUGGUAUCUGAUCUUGGUUUGAUUUUGUUUUAAUUAUAGUUCUAUUAUCAAGUAAUUAGAGAAUGAUCGUAGAGAGUAUUUGCUUUUAGUUGGUUUUGGUUCUUAUGGGUCUUGGAUUGUGAUUUUUUCACUCUCACUGUGGUACUACUGGCUUCUUGCCACUGCUAGUUAGCAAGAGAGGAUUUCUUUGAUCAACAGACAACAGGGUUUCUGCCUGAUGGGCAUAAAGUGUGUAGCGGGUGAGCCUUAAAUUUGUGGCUCUCUCUCUUCUGGGGAGUUUAACUUCCUUCUGGAGUACAAUGCAGUCAUUUUGGUCUUUAACUCUUGUCUGGCCAUGCGUUUUCAGUGCUUCUUAAACUUAAUCAUGAUGGUGUUACUACUGGUGAUAAUAUUUAACAACCACUUUGCUAAGCUGUGCUUGUUCAAAUUAUUUGUUUCAGGUGUGCCCAGUCUGUGCUAAACGAGUCGGAGUGGAUAUUUUUGGCCACAUUAAUAUGCAACAUGGCAACUUCUUUAA
This 984-nucleotide unclassified non-coding RNA is filed under the name Hevea brasiliensis (rubber tree). Lineage: Eukaryota; Viridiplantae; Streptophyta; Magnoliopsida; Malpighiales; Euphorbiaceae. The record is from RNAcentral.